UAUGCUCCUUAUUCCCCUCAUUCAAUGGGAUCGUUUCGAGGUCUUCUAUCAUUUCUUCAUGCUCCUCCAUUACUUUAUUAUGGGUAUCUAGUCCGUCGACCAAAUAUACUUUAGAGGUCCUGGUGCCAUAAAGCACAAUGAUGUAGCAUUGUUAGGCUAGGGCCUGAUCUCUUUGAACCUCACCAACUCCGAACUUAAUUGGGAAUUUCACCUUUAGGUGGUAUGUGGAUACCAUGGCUUGGAGUGCAUUAAGUUUCGAUGUCUGAUGAUAGCAUUGUAGGCUGAUGGCGUUUGGACUACGAGAAAGUCAAUUUGAGCUGUGGAUCGUCUAGGGGAUCAUCCAGCAACCAUAGAAAGAGUGAUAACUCCUUUGACAAGUAUUACAUCACUAGUGAACCCCACAAGGAGAGAAUCCAAGCACCCU
RNAcentral lists this long non-coding RNA (424 nucleotides) under Elaeis guineensis (African oil palm). RNAcentral describes it as "long non-coding RNA (EGUI_LNC024045)". Lineage: Eukaryota; Viridiplantae; Streptophyta; Magnoliopsida; Arecales; Arecaceae. The record is from RNAcentral.